AGGACGAACGCUGGCGGCGUGCUUAACACAUGCAAGUCGAGCGGAAAGGCCCUUCGGGGUACUCGAGCGGCGAACGGGUGAGUAACACGUGAGUAAUCUGCCCCUAGCUCUGGGAUAGCUCCGGGAAACCGGGAUUAAUACCAGAUACGACCACUUUAGACAUCUGCUGUGGUGGAAAGAAUUUCGGCUAGGGAUGAGCUCGCGGCCUAUCAGCUUGUUGGUGAGGUAACGGCUCACCAAGGCGACGACGGGUAGCC
This 257-nucleotide ribosomal RNA is filed under the name uncultured bacterium. RNAcentral's name for it is "partial small subunit ribosomal RNA". It matches the Rfam family "Bacterial small subunit ribosomal RNA", at positions 26 to 288 of the family's 1533-position model. The record is from RNAcentral.